RNAcentral lists this ribosomal RNA (433 nucleotides) under uncultured bacterium. RNAcentral's name for it is "partial 16S ribosomal RNA". It matches the Rfam family "Bacterial small subunit ribosomal RNA", at positions 29 to 507 of the family's 1533-position model. The record is from RNAcentral.
AACGAACGCUGGCGGCAUGCCUAACACAUGCAAGUCGAACGAGACCUUCGGGUCUAGUUGCGCACGGGUGCGUAACGCGUCGGAGCCGUCCCUCAUGUUCGGCAUACCUCUCCGACAGGGGUGAUAAUGCCGGAUAAUGUCUUCUGACCAAAGAUUUAUCGCCUUUGUAUGGGCGCGCGUUGGAUUAGCUCGUUGGUAGAGUAAAAGCCUACCACGGCGACGAUCCAUAGCUGGGCUGUGAGGAUGGUCAGCCACACCCAGACGGAGACGCGGCCGAGACUCCUACGGGAGGGAGCAAUGGGGAAUAGUGGACAAUGGGGGAAGGGAAGAAGGAGCAAGGCCGCGUAAGCGAUGAAGUUGGGAAGGAAGUAAAGCUCUUUUACCCGGGGUGAUAAUGACGGUACCGGGAGAAUAAGCUCCGGCUAACUCCGUG